AGUGAACGCUGGCGGUAGGCCUAACACAUGCAAGUCGAACGGCAGCACAGUAAGAGCUCGCUCCUACGGGUGGCGAGUGGCGGAUGGGUGAGGAAUACAUAGGAUUCCUCUUUUUCGUGGGGGACAACGUAGGGAAACUUCCGAUAAUACCGCAUAUGUUCUACGGGUUAAAGCAGGGGUUCUUGGGACUUUUCGCGUCUGUAUUAGCUGAUGUCGGAUUAGCUAGUUGGCGGGGUAAAGGCACACCAAGGCGACGAUCCGUAGCUGGUCUGAGAGGAUGAUCGGCCACACUGGAACUGAGACACGGUCCAGACUCCUACGGGAGGCAGCAGUGGGGAAUAUUGGACAAUGGGCGAAAGCCUGAUCCAGCCAUGCCGCGUGAGUGAAGAAGGCCUUCGGAUUGUAAAGCCCUUUUAUUAGGAAAGAAAAACAGCAGAUUAAUACACCGCUGUUCUGACGGUACCCAAAGAGAAAGCACCGGCUAACUUCGUG
Molecule: ribosomal RNA, 492 nt
Filed under: uncultured bacterium
Lineage: Bacteria
Description: partial 16S ribosomal RNA
Rfam family: Bacterial small subunit ribosomal RNA
Source: RNAcentral